Non-coding RNA from Schistosoma haematobium, 48 nucleotides. The record is from Rfam. NCBI's taxonomy places the organism in Eukaryota, Metazoa, Platyhelminthes, Trematoda, Strigeidida, Schistosomatidae.
AUCCAUCUGUCGAGUCCUAAAUAGGACGAAAUGUGUCUUCAACUGGAU